UGUGAGCUCGAUGAGUAGGGCGGGACACGUGGUAUCCUGUCUGAAUAUGGGGGGACCAUCCUCCAAGGCUAAAUACUCCUGACUGACCGAUAGUGAACCAGUACCGUGAGGGAAAGGCGAAAAGAACCCCGGCGAGGGGAGUGAAAAAGAACCUGAAACCGUGUACGUACAAGCAGUGGGAGCCUCUUUUAUGGGGUGACUGCGUACCUUUUGUAUAAUGGGUCAGCGACUUAUAUUCUGUAGCAAGGUUAACCGAAUAGGGGAGCCGAAGGGAAACCGAGUCUUAACUGGGCGUUAAGUUGCAGGGUAUAGACCCGAAACCCGGUGAUCUAGCCAUGGGCAGGUUGAAGGUUGGGUAACACUAACUGGAGGACCGAACCGACUAAUGUUGAAAAAUUAGCGGAUGACUUGUGGCUGGGGGUGAAAGGCCAAUCAAACCGGGAGAUAGCUGGUUCUCCCCGAAAGCUAUUUAGGUAGCGCCUCGUGAACUCAUCUCCGGGGGUAGAGCACUGUUUCGGCAAGGGGGUCAUCCCGACUUACCAACCCGAUGCAAACUGCGAAUACCGGAGAAUGUUAUCACGGGAGACACACGGCGGGUGCUAACGUCCGUCGUGAAGAGGGAAACAACCCAGACCGCCAGCUAAGGUCCCAAAGUCAUGGUUAAGUGGGAAACGAUGUGGGAAGGCCCAGACAGCCAGGAUGUUGGCUUAGAAGCAGCCAUCAUUUAAAGAAAGCGUAAUAGCUCACUGGUCGAGUCGGCCUGCGCGGAAGAUGUAACGGGGCUAAACCAUGCACCGAAGCUGCGGCAGCGACGCUGAUGCGUUGUUGGGUAGGGGAGCGUUCUGUAAGCCUGUGAAGGUGUGCUGUGAGGCAUGCUGGAGGUAUCAGAAGUGCGAAUGCUGACAUAAGUAACGAUAAAGCGGGUGAAAAGCCCGCUCGCCGGAAGACCAAGGGUUCCUGUCCAACGUUAAUCGGGGCAGGGUGAGUCGACCCCUAAGGCGAGGCCGAAAGGCGUAGUCGAUGGGAAACAGGUUAAUAUUCCUGUACUUGGUGUUACUGCGAAGGGGGGACGGAGAAGGCUAUGUUGGCCGGGCGACGGUUGUCCCGGUUUAAGCGUGUAGGCUGGUUUUCCAGGCAAAUCCGGAAAAUCAAGGCUGAGGCGUGAUGACGAGGCACUACGGUGCUGAAGCAACAAAUGCCCUGCUUCCAGGAAAAGCCUCUAAGCAUCAGGUAACAUCAAAUCGUACCCCAAACCGACACAGGUGGUCAGGUAGAGAAUACCAAGGCGCUUGAGAGAACUCGGGUGAAGGAACUAGGCAAAAUGGUGCCGUAACUUCGGGAGAAGGCACGCUGAUAUGUAGGUGAAGUCCCUCGCGGAUGGAGCUGAAAUCAGUCGAAGAUACCAGCUGGCUGCAACUGUUUAUUAAAAACACAGCACUGUGCAAACACGAAAGUGGACGUAUACGGUGUGACGCCUGCCCGGUGCCGGAAGGUUAAUUGAUGGGGUCAGCGCAAGCGAAGCUCUUGAUCGAAGCCCCGGUAAACGGCGGCCGUAACUAUAACGGUCCUAAGGUAGCGAAAUUCCUUGUCGGGUAAGUUCCGACCUGCACGAAUGGCGUAAUGAUGGCCAGGCUGUCUCCACCCGAGACUCAGUGAAAUUGAACUCGCUGUGAAGAUGCAGUGUACCCGCGGCAAGACGGAAAGACCCCGUGAACCUUUACUAUAGCUUGACACUGAACAUUGAGCCUUGAUGUGUAGGAUAGGUGGGAGGCUUAGAAGUGUGGACGCCAGUCUGCAUGGAGCCGACCUUGAAAUACCACCCUUUAAUGUUUGAUGUUCUAACGUGGACCCGUGAUCCGGGUUGCGGACAGUGUCUGGUGGGUAGUUUGACUGGGGCGGUCUCCUCCUAAAGAGUAACGGAGGAGCACGAAGGUUGGCUAAUCCUGGUCGGACAUCAGGAGGUUAGUGCAAUGGCAUAAGCCAGCUUGACUGCGAGCGUGACGGCGCGAGCAGGUGCGAAAGCAGGUCAUAGUGAUCCGGUGGUUCUGAAUGGAAGGGCCAUCGCUCAACGGAUAAAAGGUACUCCGGGGAUAACAGGCUGAUACCGCCCAAGAGUUCAUAUCGACGGCGGUGUUUGGCACCUCGAUGUCGGCUCAUCACAUCCUGGGGCUGAAGUAGGUCCCAAGGGUAUGGCUGUUCGCCAUUUAAAGUGGUACGCGAGCUGGGUUUAGAACGUCGUGAGACAGUUCGGUCCCUAUCUGCCGUGGGCGCUGGAGAACUGAGGGGGGCUGCUCCUAGUACGAGAGGACCGGAGUGGACGCAUCACUGGUGUUCGGGUUGUCAUGCCAAUGGCACUGCCCGGUAGCUAAAUGCGGAAGAGAUAAGUGCUGAAAGCAUCUAAGCACGAAACUUGCCCCGAGAUGAGUUCUCCCUGACCCUUUAAGGGUCCUGAAGGAACGUUGAAGACGAUGACGUUGAUAGGCCGGGUGUGUAAGCGCAGCGAUGCGUUGAGCUAACCGGUACUAAUGAACCGUGAGGCUUAACCUUACAACGCCGAAGCUGUU
This 2564-nucleotide ribosomal RNA is filed under the name Escherichia coli. RNAcentral describes it as "partial 23S ribosomal RNA". It matches the Rfam family "Bacterial large subunit ribosomal RNA", at positions 398 to 2925 of the family's 2925-position model. The record is from RNAcentral. Lineage: Bacteria; Pseudomonadati; Pseudomonadota; Gammaproteobacteria; Enterobacterales; Enterobacteriaceae.